This is a long non-coding RNA of Brassica rapa (field mustard), 5677 nucleotides long. RefSeq lists it as uncharacterized. The record is from RefSeq and is a predicted model, not a curated record. Lineage: Eukaryota; Viridiplantae; Streptophyta; Magnoliopsida; Brassicales; Brassicaceae.
UGCAAAAUCCAAAUCUUUGAUAAUAUAUAUAGUAUUUGCAUAAAGAUUUAACAAUAAAAAUGUUUUUAUAACACGAUUUUACACAACAACAUUUUUUGUAGUGUAAGAUUAGAUGAAUAUGAUUGUAUAAGUAUAUGAUGUUAAGAUGAGAUGUUAUGAAAACAAUGAUAUGCAUACAUAAAUAUUUUAAUGAGUUGUUAUAUUUGAACGGUUGUGAUCUAAUACUAUACUAAACACUUAUUAUGUGUUAUUUUCAUAGUUUUGGCAUCUAAAUUUAUAGAUUUUUAUGUUUAAAAUUUUUUAGAAACACAUGUCCUCGGUAAUUCGUCGGAAUAUACCGACGACAUUCCGACGAACUUGUGUAGUUCGUCGGAAUAUCGUCGGUAAAUUCUGACGAAUUACCGAGGACAUUUCCAAACUUCAAUGGAACCCUUUGUCGUCGCUAUGUCGUCGGUAUUUUGCGAGGGAUUUCCGACGGAAACAUGGUUCGUCGGAAAUUCGUCAGAAAAUUCCGACGGAAUACCGACGACGGUAACAUUUGUAGUGUAAGAUUAGAUGAAUAUGAUUGUAUAAGUAUAUGAGUGUUAAGAUGAGAUGUUAUGAAAACAAUGAUAUGCAUACAUAAAUAUUUUAAUGAGUUGUUAUAUUUGAACGGUUGUGAUCUAAUACUAUACUAAACACUUAUUAUGUGUUAUUUUCAUAGUUUUGGCAUCUAAAUUUAUAGAUUUUUAUGUUUAAAUUUUUUUAGAAACACAUGUCCUCGGUAAUUCGUCGGAAUAUACCGACGACAUUCCGACGAACUUGUGUAGUUCGUCGGAAUAUCGUCGGUAAAUUCUGACGAAUUACCGAGGACAUUUCCAAACUUCAAUGGAACCCUUUGUCGUCGCUAUGUCGUCGGUAUUUUGCGAGGGAUUUCCGACGGAAACAUGGUUCGUCGGAAAUUCGUCAGAAAAUUCCGACGGAAUACCGACGACGGUAACAUUUGUAGUGUAAGAUUAGAUGAAUAUGAUUGUAUAAGUAUAUGAGUGUUAAGAUGAGAUGUUAUGAAAACAAUGAUAUGCAUACAUAAAUAUUUUAAUGAGUUGUUAUAUUUGAACGGUUGUGAUCUAAUACUAUACUAAACACUUAUUAUGUGUUAUUUUCAUAGUUUUGGCAUCUAAAUUUAUAGAUUUUUAUGUUUAAAUUUUUUUAGAAACACAUGUCCUCGGUAAUUCGUCGGAAUAUACCGACGACAUUCCGACGAACUUGUGUAGUUCGUCGGAAUAUCGUCGGUAAAUUCUGACGAAUUACCGAGGACAUUUCCAAACUUCAAUGGAACCCUUUGUCGUCGCUAUGUCGUCGGUAUUUUGCGAGGGAUUUCCGACGGAAACAUGGUUCGUCGGAAAUUCGUCAGAAAAUUCCGACGGAAUACCGACGACGGUAACAUUUAUAUCUCUCAAUCGGAAUGUCGUCGGAAGUUCGUCGGUAUAUUCCGACGAAUGUCCGACGACUACAACGGUUAUAUGUUUUAUCAGAAUGUCGUCGAAAAGUCGUCGGAAUAUUCCGACGAGCCAUUUUUCCUCUGAAAUUCGUCGGAAAUGGCCGACGGAAUUCCGACGACUUCAAAUUUUUUGUUUUCGUCGGAAAUUGGUCGGAAAUCCGUCACAAACGUCCGACGAAUUUUAAUCCGUCGGAACCUCCGUCGGAAUUCGGCGUUUUUUCUUGUAGUGAUGCCGUUUAAAAAUCAGAGGAUACAAGUUGGAUUGAAAGUUUAAUACUUUCUUAGAUUUGUGUAUGUCUUACACUUUGAACCGGUCAAAAAUAAUUAUGGUUGUGUAAUUAAUGACGACUAGAAAAAGUUCUCUAGCUCUCAAAAUAGGCGGUGGUAUGUAGAAGCAUUAUUUUUGCUAAAGUAAAAAUAUCCUUGUGACAUUCUAAUUAGUUGUCUAUCUAUUCUAUUAUUUAUGAAUUGAUUUGGCUUAUUUAUCACAUUCUCCAUAAUUUUAGUUAAUUUGCUUAUUUGUCAUAUUUUCCAUGAUUUUAAGAUAAAUCAUUAGUUUAAUUAAUAUUAUUAUUAAUUUUUUAAUAUUUUGAUAUCUAUAUAUUUAUCAUGAUAUUUAAAAUCAUGAUAAACAUGAACCUAUUUUACCGAUAUAUAUACUAAUAUUUUCUAAAAAAUAUUUUAAUAUAUAAUAAACAUGAUAUUUACGACAUUUAAUUAAUAAAAGAUAUUAAUAAUAUAUACCGAUAAUAUCAUCAUUACUUUUCUCUUAUUUAUAAUUUUAAUGACUAAUAUUAUAGCCAAUUUCUCUGAUUUUUUUACUGAAAAUAUUGAUCAAAUACAUAUUAUUAUAAAAUUUAUAUAUAAAUAUAUUAAUAUAUCUGAAUUAAAAUUUAAAAUUUCUAUCUAAUUCAAUUAUUAUUAUCUUAUAAAAAAUAGAAUUAAAAAUUGUUAGAUGUACAGAUAUAUUAAUCCGCACAAAGUGCGGGACAUCAACUAGUUAACUUAUUAUAUAAACAUAACAUAUUUCUCAAUCCUUUAUACUUACUAUUUUUAAAAAUUAAUGCCUCGGAUAUAUAUACUCUUGAAGACCUAUGAUUUUUACUAAAUCAAAUUAUCAAUCACCGUUAAUUAUACGAUAUGGGUCCAAUACUUUAUGUUAUUGUUCACUUUUAAAUGAAACUUUCCUGAUAUUUCUCUUUGGAUGCUGGCACGUGUAGUUACAGUCACAUUCAACCCUUAAAUUUUGGGCUAAUUUAAAACCCUAAGUUAUAUUUUAAACCCUAAGGUAACCUACCAAUUAUUUAGCUAGAACAGCGUAUUAAAUGAGAUACGAUCCAAAGUUUGUCUGCAUCCAAAAGACGACCCUAGUCGUUGACUUGUUUACCCAUAUUAAUCUUCUGGAAACUAUAGGAAACAUCGCAGGAUUUCAAGCAAACUGAUUGUAGAAAAAACAAACAAAUAUCAACACAAAUUUCAAGCUCGAAAAAAAAAGUUUCCAUGCUCGAAGAUGAAGUGACUAACGUAUUACCGUUGGUCGACUAGUUUAUUAUAAAUUAAGUUAUGGGCUGAUUAAAAAAAAAGUUAUGGGCUGAUAUAUAUAAUAAUAUUACUGCAAAUAUAGCUUUCUCAUUUUUUUGAUACUGUUUUAGAUGAAUUUUAAAUUAAAUUCAAACCAAAAAAGUAUUUUAUAAUAACUGCAUCAAUUUACAGAAAAAAAAAACGAACAAAAAAUUGACUUCAAGUAGAAAAUAUAUGUUCUUAGCGCUAUGUAGUUUAAGUUGUACACCAAAGACUCAGAACCUCUUUGUAAUUAAGCUUCCAUGGACUGGGUUGAGAUACGAUGGUUGCAUAUCUCCUUCACAUAUUGUAUGUAGACUCAUCUAUUUUUCUUCAGUCAUAUUCAGACUUUUAUCACGGUGUCUUUUUUUCUGCAAUGUGAUUGCACUAUAUGUGCUCAUACUUGCAUUAGUUGUAUUCUGAAAUUAAUUUAUUCCUUUGUAUCCGUUAUACUAUACAUAGUUAAGUCAGUACUGUUUUUCCUUAUAUUAAUAGUCUCAAAAGUUCAUAAUGCACCUUUUCAUCGGUAAUAAAUUAUCUUUUUACUUAACUUUAAUUUUAUUUACAACGAAAACGUAAUGUUAUGUCCUUGAUCGUGUGUAAUUAUUAUGUGGUCGUAACUUAGAAAAUUGUUUAUUUUAACGGGAAUUCUAAUAAUUUCAGUUAGCAAUACAAAAAAAAACUCUUAAAAUUUCCACUAGUUUAUUAAUUACUACAUGUAAAAGAUAUUCGAUAACAUAUGCCUCUAUAGUUAAUACAGCUCUACAAAUAAUUAAUAUUGAUGAAUAAAGUAGUAUAUAAGUAGGCAUCUAUGUGGCAUAUAGUCAAAGUAAACUUAAUAUGUGAACCCCGAAGAUGAGUAAAUUAAAAGGUAUGGGCGUUGCAUCCCAAAGAACGUGGUAUUUAUGGAAUUUUUCAACCAAAUUGCUUUUCUUUAUUUUUGUGGAAUCAUAACUUCAUAGCUUAGUACUAAAGUGCAUACAUAUCAUAUAUAUGUGAAUAUAGUUUUCUAUUCAUUUUAGAAGCUCAAUGCACGUCGGAAGAAAUAAUAAUUUUAGAAGCUCAAUGCACGCAGCCACGACGUGCUCCAACAUUCCCCUUGUUUCUUGUAGAUAUUUGGAUUCAACAAAAUAUUUUUUCUUAGUUUUGCCUUUGCUCAGUAAUUUAUUUUCUAAUGAAUUAGCCAAUAUAUUUCCUAGCGAGAAUUUCCAAUAUCUUUUUAAUGAGAAUUUACACACAUCUUAUACUAACAAAAAAAAUCAUAAAUAUAUAUUACCCCCAUAGAGCAUCUCCAAAAAAAAACUCUAUCUUGAAGUUUCCAAACUCUAUAUUUGAAGUUUAAAUAUGCUUUUGGAGAAAAGCAAAACUUUAAACUCAACUUCAAAACUAUUUAUAUUUUAUAAUAUGGUCGUUUUAUUUUUCAUAACUAAUUUGAAUUCAUAAAACUUUUGUAAAUAACGAGCACAUAUAUAAACAUAUUACAACAAUAUUAAUUAAUAAAAUAUUAUAUUAAAUAUUAAAAUUUAAAUAAAAAUAACUUAAUUAAUAUUAAACUUCAAACAAAAUACCAUAUUAUUUCAUAAAAUGAUUUUUGUAAUGCAUAUAUGAUAUAUUAGUGCAUUUUAAAGUAAAAAUGACUCUCCUAUUUUUUUAUUUUGUAGAUUACGAGCUAAAAGUUGUUAAAAUCGGGUAAUAUUGAUACUUGUAAAUACAUUAGAUCGAUUACUAGACUGAAGAGUCGGGGGCUUAAUCAGUUGGAGGAUGUUUGUCUAUGGAAGAGGGAAAAUGGGGAGUUCAAAGAAGGGUUUGUUACAUCCCAAACUUGGAACCUGAUUAGAUGUAAGUCUCCAACAGUCUUUUGGUCUAAAGGAAUUUGGUUUACUGAGGCUACACCAAAAUUCUCUUUUAUAGCUUGGCUAGCUGCUCAUAACAGACUAGCAACGGGUGAUAGAAUGCUUCGUUGGAACCCACAAGCUAUCUCCACCUGUUGGCUGUGUAAUACGGAUAUUGAAACAAGGGAUCAUCUCUUUUUUGAAUGUCCCUAUUCUAAAGAAGUUUGGAAUGGUACGGUGAGGAGUCUGGCAGGCAUGGGAAGGAUCCAUCAAUGGGGCAGUGUAAUCCGGUUUAUUUCAAAUGGGAAUCAAGGGAGAAGCAUUAAUUUUUUGAUGAGAUACUGCUUUCAAGUGGUGAUUUAUGCUAUCUGGCAUGAGAGGAAUAUCAGGAGAGUAGGAGAACGUCCUCAACCAGCAGCUUGUCUGAUUAACCGAUUGGACAAAAUUGUGAGAAAUAGAGUUACUUCACUUCGAAAGACUGUAGGUGGGAAGCAUGAGAAGACCAUGGAGCUAUGGUUUGCAAGGAUUUAAAUGAGGCAGCUUGUCUUUAGUUGAGAAUUUUGUAGUUUGAGUUAUGUGAUGAGUUUGUAAAGAAAGUAGCAGUGAAACUCUGUACCAAGGUUUUUUUUGAAUAAAUUUAAAAUUCUUUCAAAAAAAAAAAGUAAAUACAUUAGAUCGGAACAAGAAAGUAAAAGAGAAGCAUAAAAUAUUGCUAAAAAAUUAAUUUAUUUUCGAUGAUAUUAAUACUCGUGAAUAUAAUCGAUAAGAACAAGAAAGAAUUGAACGAAAAAGACAUCAAAAACAA